UACGAAGGGGGCUAGCGUUGUUCGGAAUUACUGGGCGUAAAGCGCGCGCAGGCGGUCUUCCAAGUCAGUGGUGAAAGCCCGGAGCUCAACUCCGGAACUGCCAUUGAAACUGUUAGACUUGAGGAUGAGAGAGGUGAGUGGAAUUCCCAGUGUAGAGGUGAAAUUCGUAGAUAUUGGGAAGAACACCGGUGGCGAAGGCGGCUCGCUGGCUCAUUUCUGACGCUCAGGCGCGGACAGCGUGGGGAUCAAACAAGG
This 255-nucleotide ribosomal RNA is filed under the name uncultured bacterium. Its description in RNAcentral is "partial 16S ribosomal RNA". It matches the Rfam family "Bacterial small subunit ribosomal RNA", at positions 524 to 777 of the family's 1533-position model. The record is from RNAcentral.